GUUUCCUCCUGAGUCAGGCAGAGGAGAGAAAGCAGGGAAAGCAUCAUUUUGUAGAAAUGGACCUGGAUUCCUGUGAGGCAGAGAGGCCUCCGUUGGACACCAGAGAGAGGCCACUGGGUGACAGAAUGAU
Long non-coding RNA from Lacerta agilis (Sand lizard), 130 nucleotides. RefSeq lists it as uncharacterized. NCBI's taxonomy places the organism in Eukaryota, Metazoa, Chordata, Lepidosauria, Squamata, Lacertidae. The record is from RefSeq and is a predicted model, not a curated record. The transcript has 3 exons.